Non-coding RNA from Taeniopygia guttata (zebra finch), 2136 nucleotides. NCBI's taxonomy places the organism in Eukaryota, Metazoa, Chordata, Aves, Passeriformes, Estrildidae. The record is from RefSeq and is a predicted model, not a curated record.
CACUGCAGGAAACAGUGGGAUCAACAGAGAAACAGCUGCAGUGGGUGGGAGAGAUGCUGCUAAGUCUUACCUCACAGCACCUUACAGUCCCAUGAACUGUUUCCUGCUCAGUAUGAAAGAGUUGGUGGAGGUUGCUGCUUAAGACCCAGGUUUUCCCUUUCAGUGUAGAGGGAUGUGACUAGUCUGGGUUUACAUCUUUCACGAGGAGACAGGAGAUCUAAGAGGCUAAAGGCAUACCUAGAUGCAGUUUAUGGAUCUAGCCCUUAGCAAUUUUUCACUCUGAAGGUUGUAUAACCACUCUGUCAGAACCAGGAAGCAAUAAGAAGGUCUGAAAUCUACUUUUAAGGUUUCCAGUUAAUAAAACACAAAUGACAAUAGUUUGAAGUUCUCCCUCCCCCAACCUUAAAAACAUAGAAGUAAAUUAUAGCAAUUGGGCACUUAAGUGUUUAAAAAGAUUCCUGGACUGAAGCAUGAAAUAAAACAAAGUAUUUAAGCAAAAGUACUUUUAUUAGUAGUAAAGGGAAACGUGAUAUCUAAGAACUGUCAGAUGAGAAAGUUUGAUACAAAAUGUUUUUUGUAAGUUAAAUCAGUAAGGAACUGUCUGGAAAGGACUGCAAAAUGAUUUCACAAUUUUCAAUGCCCUUGGCCAUGAAGGAGUGAUGAAAUCUGAUAAAACAGAAAGAACUGAACAAGGGGUAAAUAAGUCUAACUAUACACACACAGGCAGGGACUACAAAGUAACUAUUGCUUGAGAAGGAAAAAUAAGGAAUAACAUCAGACAUCUCUCUGAAAACAUCAAGUCAAGCACCCAGUAUCAAGUAAAAAUGUGAAACAGGAUAUUUGGAUGAUUAAGAAAGAAACGGUAAACAAAAUAGAAAACAUAUAUAUAUAUAUAUAUAUAUAUCACAGUAUAAAUACACUGUAUCGCUAUAUCACUGUAUAAAUACAUCAUACACUCUUAUUUUGAAUAAUUCAUGCAACCCUGGUCAUUCUACUUCAGGAGAAAGAAGGGCAAGACAGAGAGAGAAGAUUGACAGAAGAAAGAAGUAAAUUCACAGAAUAUAGGACAAAUUCAGACUACUCAUCAUAGUGCACCACCCUGAUUUGGGAAGCAUUUGAACUGUACAUAUUGGAUAUAGAGCCCUGAAGAUGUCUGGAAGUCAACAGCUGAAGGUUUCCCUAAUCUGUAGGGAUCAGUGGAGGCCUUAUAACAAGACUGUACCCCUACCAAGGCACACAGUCAGGUACACACAACUAUGUGGGCUCGUGGCUUGAGUCAGUGCAGCCAUUCCUACUUUAUGCACAACCAAGUGUCUUCUUGAAAGAGCUGACAGACAAUAUCAGGGAAGGAUUCUGAGGAAAAGUGUAGGCAAGGUUAGAAAUAAAUAUAUAGGCAAAUGACCAUGCUGUCCUUCCGUCUCAGGAUACAUUAUAAUAGUUUGGAUUUUUUCAGUCGUUUUCCCGUAACACCUUGUGGCUACUGAGGUAGCUGGUAUUAAAUCCCUUCCCAAAUCAUGCAUCCGGUUCAGUUGCUGAACCCAGAAGGUAGGUCAAACUGAAUUUCCCAGAGGUUAUGCCAAAUUUCCCAGUGGAAUUUUUGUUUUUUGUUGGUUUUUUUGGUUGGUUUUUUUUUUUUUUUUUUUGGUAGCGGAGGGUGGUAAGGUGCCACACAGAUGAAUCCUAUCUCAGCACCAAAAGGUAGGCAGGCAUGGAUAACCUCCAUAUCUGCUAUCAUGCCAGAAGCAGUGGCAAAAUUAUGCAAAAUCUGGAGCUUGGCUAAAUAAAAUUAGUAGAAAUACUACCUGUGUUUUGAUAUUGCUUUACGUUGUGCCUCUUAUUGCAAAAAGUUAUAUGCAACUGAGUAAUGGAGUUCUUUCAAAUAUGUAAAAAUAAUAUGCAAAAAAUCUGUAUUAUGGGGUGAUACUAUGAAACUACUUUGCAAUCCCAUUUUUUAAAUGAUAGGUGGAUUGUAAUAAAACUUUGAGCUACAUUUAAUUGAAGAAUAAUUUAGGCAGAGAAGAUUUUGGUAAAUUGAUACCAUGGCUAUAGGAUUUAAAUCCAGUAUUAUUUUGAUAAAAAUGGAGAGAAAUUACUGAGGUGGGAAUCAUUCUUCAAGCACUGCUGAGCAUUGAGUUU